RNAcentral lists this transfer RNA (73 nucleotides) under Zootermopsis nevadensis. It matches the Rfam family "tRNA". From Rfam's summary of the family: Transfer RNA (tRNA) molecules are approximately 80 nucleotides in length. Their secondary structure includes four short double-helical elements and three loops (D, anti-codon, and T loops). Lineage: Eukaryota; Metazoa; Arthropoda; Insecta; Blattodea; Termopsidae. The record is from Rfam by way of RNAcentral.
GCCACAGUUGUCUAGCGGUUAGAACGCUGGCCUUGUAAUCCUGGGGUCUCGGGUUCGAUUCCCGGCGGUGCCC